GAGAAGUGAAAUAAACAAAUACGACUCAGUUCCUUUAGGAUUCGAUACAAUUAUUUUUUCUCUGUGCAGCAACCUGUGGUCGUGCUAAUAAAAAUUCCAAUGAGUUUGCUUCAACCAAGUCAAACUGUACCAGGAAGUCAGUGCAGUACUUGGUUUUGAUCUUCACCGGACAUCUAAGCAGGAAAACAAACAGCUCUGUGGUUCAGUUUCUAGCCUUCAGAGAUACCCGGUCAGCUGUAAAGUAAAAGACACAAAAAACCAAUUGACGAAGAGCUGGUCAACGCUUUUAACAUGAAAGUAGUAUCUCUUCAACUUGCUACCUCAACAACCUCAUUUUCACCGUCACUAUAAUCUCCCCAACGCUUGGUUCCUUUCUCCUCAAGAACGACAGUAUUACACGUUUCUUUUGAAGCAGUAAUCUCAUCAGAUAGUGCAGGAGUAUCUACAGACAUUUCUCCAUUUUCACAUGGUGAUUUCUCAUCAUCGUUAGGAAUGUCAUGUAGUUUUUCUACAUCUUCUUCCUGAGCCUGCAUGAUCUGCUGACUUUCUGUCUCAUCAGUUACCAAACUACUGGAGGUAUCCACUUCAGUCCCACCAGCCAUCGCUUUAUCGUGAUUUUCAGCAGCUUCUUCCACAGUCACAGCUAAAGGGGAUUCUCCUGCUUCAACUGGAGAUAUUGAAAUUCCGUCUUCAGUCACUGGUGUACUGUUCAAGGAUGCUGGAGAACCAUCUGGAGAUACUGGUAUGCUAUUUGGUGAUAUCGGGUAUCCAUUUGGUGAAACAGGCAUACCAUUUGGUGAAGCCAUGUAACCAUUUGGAGCAACCGGAAAGCCAUUUGGAACCCAUGGUUGUCCAGGGACAAACUCAGCUGCAUGUGGGUUCAUGAUUCUAGGAAUAGCGAAAUGGCUGGCAUCCCCAUUAGGUUCAGCAUUGAGAAAAGCAGGCUUGUUUCGUGGAACUCGAUUUCCAGACCUACCAUAGCCACCUGACAAGCGUGGACCAUACGGAACUCGUGCUGUUGCUGACUGAUGUGGUGAUCUACGAACAGGACUCAGAGGAAGCAAAGGAGGGAUAUUCACAGGAGGGGGCAAUAUUCCUCCAUGCUCCUUGAAACCUGGUGCUGGGAUAGUGCCAAAAACUGGAAUGGGUGAUGGAUUAAAUGGUGGUGCAGCUGCCGAAAGUUUCUUGGAUGCUUCUUUUACAGUCUCAGAAUCACCUUGCUGGUCUGAUUCAGUAGGCACGGUACUAGCAUUGCUAGUAAUAUCUUUAUCUACUCCAGUUGGCAAUGUGACACUUCCUAGAUCACCAGGUUCAUCAUCAUUCUUUUCCUUAACUGCAGCUCCUUCAUUUGUAAGACAAGCAUCCUUCUCUGUCACUAAAUCAGUAGCAGCUUUGCUUUCCAGAAUAUUGACUUUGGAAGUAGCAUCUGAAUCACUGGAACCAUUAUUUUGGAUACCCGGAAUAGAGCUAUUUGUAGAAGCUGUGACAACUCCGUCCAUCUCCCCAGAAGUGUCAGCUUUUGUCCCCUCAGAAGAUUCGGAUGAUACAGGUGCUUUCUCUUUACUUUGUUGAGCGUCAUUGACUGCUUGAUUGGUUUUCUCACCGGAAUCAUCAUGUUGCUUCUCUUCACCGACUUUCUGAGCCUUUUCUCCAUCAUUGGUCCUCGCUGUUGUCGGUAGAGUUGAAUCAGUUGCCACAGUCUCCUUGUUUUGUUCUGAAUUACUAUCCUUUGGCAAUUGCUCUGCCACUGCUUUCACAAUGGUACCAGGUGGAGCUAAAGCAACUUCUUUGUAAGAAAACAGUUUUCCAGCUGCCUGAACACUGAUUGAGCUGACAAUUGAAUUAGUUUUGACAACUUGUUCAGCUUGAGCAGGGGUGAGCGGUGCCGAUUUGGGCUUAGAAGAUCUCUCAGUACCACCAGAUGGUGAAGCAGCGCUGUUUAACUUAGGGCUGAAACUAGCACUCUUCACAAACUUCUUUGAAGCAGGAGAUAGCCCAGAUGAUGCCGCAGAUUCAUUUGGAGUCAAUCUUGGAGAAGGAAAAUUAGUGGUUUUACCUCGAGCUCUUGGUAAAUGGGAAGCAUUCGUGAAGUUGGUGUUAAGUUUUGCAAGGUUAGGUCUCCUAGAACUAGAAAUCUUACGCCCCAUUGUUGAACGACCUUUGGGUAAAGCCUCUUGCCAUCCUUCCUCAGAGGUAUCCUCUAAUAUCACAUCGUCAUUUUUCUCCAGUAGUGUCUGCUCUAUCAAAAUGUGUUCAGAUUCCUUAGGUGUGGGUUCUGCAAUCUUCAAUUCUGAUUUGUUCUCUAAUUCCGACUUGUUCUCUUUAUCACUGGAGUUCUCCACAACAGGACUAGUUGGAGAAAGAAGUUCAUCCUUCUCAAAUUCAUCGGUAGCUAAUCCCCCAUUUUGUCCUGCUUUGCCUUUAACCUUUGCACGAGCUUGCUUCUUUUGCGCUUCUCUAGCUUUCAUCUCAGCAUCUGGAGCUAUGUAAUCCAACAAAUCCGAGACACUUAGAUGGCCUUUGCUAGAGAUAGAAGCAUCAGGCUUCGGGGUACCAUUUCGUGCAGCUUCUUGCUGCUCAAGUGCUUUAGAUUCAAAAUACUCAAGCCAUGCCGCAGCAUCCUGCAGAAAAUUCUGAGUACGU
Molecule: unclassified non-coding RNA, 2643 nt
Filed under: Hevea brasiliensis (rubber tree)
Lineage: Eukaryota; Viridiplantae; Streptophyta; Magnoliopsida; Malpighiales; Euphorbiaceae
Source: RNAcentral